Molecule: ribosomal RNA, 506 nt
Filed under: uncultured bacterium
Lineage: Bacteria
Description: partial 16S ribosomal RNA
Rfam family: Bacterial small subunit ribosomal RNA
Source: RNAcentral
GAUGAACGCUAGCUACAGGCUUAACACAUGCAAGUCGAGGGGUAACAAGAGGAAAGCUUGCUUUCCUUGUUGACGACCGGCGCACGGGUGAGUAACGCGUAUCCAACCUGCCUAUAACUAGGGAAUAACCUUGCGAAAGUAAGACUAAUGCCCUAUGACUUCCUUUGGCGGCAUCAAAAAGGGAAUAAAGAUUUAUCGGUUAUAGAUGGGGAUGCGUCUGAUUAGCUUGUUGGCGGGGUAACGGCCCACCAAGGCAACGAUCAGUAGGGGUUCUGAGAGGAAGGUCCCCCACAUUGGAACUGAGACACGGUCCAAACUCCUACGGGAGGCAGCAGUGAGGAAUAUUGGUCAAUGGGCGGAAGCCUGAACCAGCCAAGUAGCGUGCAGGAUGACGGCCCUAUGGGUUGUAAACUGCUUUUAUACAGGAAUAAAGUUAGCCACGUGUGGUUAUUUGUAGGUACUGUAUGAAUAAGGACCGGCUAAUUCCGUGCCAGCCGCCGCGGUAA